GAGCUGUGAUGAAAUCUCCAGCGCUUCAUGUGAUAGAGGGGUCUAUCACUACCGUCCGAUCCUAGUGACGAAAGGUGGCGCUUCUGAGCUC
Non-coding RNA from Morus notabilis, 91 nucleotides. The record is from Rfam. NCBI's taxonomy places the organism in Eukaryota, Viridiplantae, Streptophyta, Magnoliopsida, Rosales, Moraceae.